This 265-nucleotide ribosomal RNA is filed under the name uncultured bacterium. RNAcentral describes it as "partial 16S ribosomal RNA". It matches the Rfam family "Bacterial small subunit ribosomal RNA", at positions 57 to 305 of the family's 1533-position model. The record is from RNAcentral.
GCAAGUCGAGCGAGAAGCUUCUGAUGGAUCCUUCGGGUGAAAGAUGAAAUGGAAAGCGGCGGACGGGUGAGUAACGCGUGGGUAACCUGCCCCAUACAAAGGGAUAACCACUGGAAACGGUGAUUAAUACCAUAUAACAUCAUAGUGUCGCAUGAAACAUUGGUCCAAGAUUCAUCGGUAUGGGAUGGACCCGCGUCUGAUUAGCUAGUUGGUAAGGUAAUGGCUUACCAAGGCGACGAUCAGUAGCCGACCUGAGAGGGUGAUC